RNAcentral lists this ribosomal RNA (414 nucleotides) under uncultured bacterium. RNAcentral's name for it is "bacterial SSU rRNA". It matches the Rfam family "Bacterial small subunit ribosomal RNA", at positions 100 to 507 of the family's 1533-position model. The record is from RNAcentral.
AACGGGUGAAGUAAUACAGUCGGGAACGUCGACCCAAUCGGUGGGGAUAACGUAGCGAAAGUUACGCUAAUACCGCAUACGAUCUACGGAUGAAAGCGGGGGAUCGCAAGACCUCGCGCGAAUGGAGCGGCCGAUGUCAGAUUAGGUAGUUGGUGGGGUAAAGGCUCACCAAGCCGACGAUCUGUAGCUGGUCUGAGAGGACGACCAGCCACACUGGGACUGAGACACGGCCCAGACUCCUACGGGAGGCAGCAGUGGGGAAUUUUGGACAAUGGGCGCAAGCCUGAUCCAGCCAUUCCGCGUGCAGGAUGAAGGCCUUCGGUUGUAAACUGCUUUUGUACGGAACGAAACGGUUCUCUCUAAUACAGGGGGCUAAUGACGGUACCGUAAGAAUAAGCACCGGCUAACUACGUG